RNAcentral lists this small nuclear RNA (19 nucleotides) under Arabidopsis thaliana (thale cress). RNAcentral's name for it is "snRNA_12844". The record is from RNAcentral. Lineage: Eukaryota; Viridiplantae; Streptophyta; Magnoliopsida; Brassicales; Brassicaceae.
UGGGCUUUCAUGAGUCGCC